This 304-nucleotide ribosomal RNA is filed under the name uncultured bacterium. RNAcentral describes it as "partial 16S ribosomal RNA". It matches the Rfam family "Bacterial small subunit ribosomal RNA", at positions 506 to 807 of the family's 1533-position model. The record is from RNAcentral.
CAGCAGCAGCCGCGGGAAUACAGAGGGUGCAAGCGUUAAUCGGAAUUACUGGGCGUAAAGCGCGCGUAGGUGGUUUGUUAAGUUGGAUGUGAAAGCCCCGGGCUCAACCUGGGAACUGCAUCCAAAACUGGCAAGCUAGAGUACGGUAGAGGGUGGUGGAAUUUCCUGUGUAGCGGUGAAAUGCGUAGAUAUAGGAAGGAACACCAGUGGCGAAGGCGACCACCUGGACUGAUACUGACACUGAGGUGCGAAAGCGUGGGGAGCAAACAGGAUUAGAUACCCCAGUAGUCCCUGUCUCUUAUAC